UUUAUUUAUUUAUUUAUUUAUUUGCCUUUUUUAACCCUUAAAUUCGUCUCAAAGGGAUAUAUUUUGGGAGAUUUUAAUGGAAUCCACAUCAAUUUGAAACUUUUAGCAUUCUUGAAAGUAAUAAGUGUUUGGGUGAAUUCUUUUUAGCUAGUGAACACAAACGUGCGUCCUUUAUGGUAUCAUAUACUUGAUUUGUAAUACGGAUUUGAUUUGUGGCUCUAUGAGUUUUCUGUUAAUUAUUGUAUGAACUGAGGUGUUUCUUGUUGUCUUGGCAAUUGUAUGAUGACAAUUUUCUUAACUAGUGUUGCUUUACAUGUUAAUACUUAACUAUUUGAAGACUCUUUUUGUUGUUGCAGUUGCUAAGGCCUAUUAAGAAGGUUGGAACAGAGGCGUUUGUUGUUGCAAUUUUUAUUUUAGUGUUGUUUGCUUUGUACUAUUGUAGCAUAAUCACAAUCCAUAAAAUGAUUUCAGCAUGAUUAUAGUCAUGAUAUGUUUCUGUGAAUUAGUUGGAAGUUUAAGGUCUAGUUUUUUAAUUAAUUUAUUUUCAAUUUCAGGUUGCAUUACCACAAAGGAGCUU
Molecule: unclassified non-coding RNA, 577 nt
Filed under: Hevea brasiliensis (rubber tree)
Lineage: Eukaryota; Viridiplantae; Streptophyta; Magnoliopsida; Malpighiales; Euphorbiaceae
Source: RNAcentral